UCACCUUCCUUAGGUUUUAAAAACAAUCGAUCUUCGAGAUCACCAAGGGUAUAGGAUUCUUUACUAGCCCAAAAGUAUGGUUCUUUUACAGGAUCUUUCCCCUUUCGUCGAAGUUCCCUAUGAACAGGUUCACAUUGAAUUCCUGUAUGAACAAAAGACAGUGUCGAGACUAUUAUUACAGGUUUUAUAGUAAAUACUUUAAAAACGAUUGUAAAUCAUGUUUAACACUUUUAAAAGCUUUUAAAAUCCCUUAUAAAUCAUUCAAUGCCACUUACUUAUGCUUUAAAAACGAUUGUAAACCAUGCAGACACUUUUAAAAUCCCUUGUAAAUCAUUAUAUGACACUUACUUAUGCUUUAAAAACGAUUGUAAAUCAUGUUUAACCCUUCUAAAAGCUUUUAAAAUCCCUUGUAAAUCAUUCUAUUCAACUUACUUAUGCUUAAAAAAUGAUUGUAAAUCAUGUUUAACCCUUAGAAAAGGUUUUAAAAUCUCUUGUAAAUAUUCUAUGCCACUUACUUAUGUUUUAAAAUCGAUUGUAAACUAUGCAAACACUUCUAAAAUCCCUUGUAAAUCGUUUUACGACACUUACUUAUGCUUUUAAAAUCCCUUGUAAACGUGUUUAACACUUCUUUAAGCUUUUAAAAUCCCUUGUAAAUUAUUCUAUGCUAGUUACUUAUGCCUAAAAACGGUUGUAAACCAUGCAUACCCUUUUUAAAAUCCCUUGUAAAUCAUUAUCUGCCACUAACUUAUGCUUCUUAAACGAUUGUUAAUGAAGUAAACCCCUUUUAAAAGCUUUUAAAAUCUCUUGUAAAUUAUCUGUGACACUUAUGUUUUAAAAACGAUUGUAAACUACGCAAACAGUUAUGCAAAUGCCUUGCAAAUGCCUUGUAAAUCAUUCUACGACAGUUAAUUAAGCUUUAAAAACGAUUGUAAAACUUUAUUACCUGUUGUGAGAUAGAACUCUCUCAAGGAGAAACGGAUAGGUUGAGAAUCAACUCUAAACCAAAGAGUUGAUCCUUUUGUUUUUACUCUCUGCUUCAUGAGAUAGUG
This 1049-nucleotide small RNA is filed under the name Arabidopsis thaliana (thale cress). RNAcentral's name for it is "ATSL087030". The record is from RNAcentral. Lineage: Eukaryota; Viridiplantae; Streptophyta; Magnoliopsida; Brassicales; Brassicaceae.